RNAcentral lists this ribosomal RNA (389 nucleotides) under Stramenopiles sp. RNAcentral describes it as "partial small subunit ribosomal RNA". It matches the Rfam family "Eukaryotic small subunit ribosomal RNA", at positions 582 to 975 of the family's 1831-position model. The record is from RNAcentral.
AUUCCAGCUCCAAUAGCGUAUAUUAAAGUUGUUGCAGUUAAAAAGCUCGUAGUUGUAUUUCUGGUUUUUUGUCUUUCUCACUCGAAUGAGUUGAAGAGGGAUGAGGAUGCCAUAUUUGUGAGGAUGUGUUGUGCGAUUAAUUUCGUGUGGCAUGGAAUUGCAUCGUUUACUGUGAAAAAAUUAGAGUGUUUCAAGCAGGCAUUUAGGCUGUGAAUACAUUAGCAUGGAAUAAUAAGAUAGGACUUUGGUGCUAUUUUAUUGGUUUGCACACUAAAGUAAUGAUUAACAGGGACAGUUGGGGGUAUUCGUAUUUAGUUGUCAGAGGUGAAAUUCUUGGAUUUACGAAAGACGAACUACUGCGAAAGCAUUUACCAAGGAUGUUUUCAUCA